RNAcentral lists this ribosomal RNA (650 nucleotides) under uncultured archaeon. RNAcentral describes it as "bacterial SSU rRNA". It matches the Rfam family "Archaeal small subunit ribosomal RNA", at positions 249 to 905 of the family's 1478-position model. The record is from RNAcentral.
CCACCAAGCCUAUAACCGGUACGGGCUUUGAGAGAAGGAGCCCGGAGAUGGACACUGAGAAAAGGGUCCAGGCCCUACGGGGCGCAGCAGGCGCGAAACCUUCGCAAUGCACGAAAGUGCGACGAGGCUAUUUCGAGUGUUGUCCGCUGAGGAUAACUUUUGCCAAGUCUAAAUAGCUUGGAGAAUAAGGGGAGGGCAAGUCUGGUGUCAGCCGCCGCGGUAAUACCAGCUCCCCGAGUGGUCGGGACGAUUAUUGGGCCUAAAGCAUCCGUAGCCUGCUCUGUAGGUCUUCUGUUAAAUUCAACAGCUUAACUGUUGAGCUGCAGGAGAUACCGCGGGGCUAGGAGGCGGGAGAGGUAGACGGUACUCCAUGGGUAGGGGUAAAAUCCUCUGAUCCUUGGAAGACCACCAGUGGCGAAGGCGGUCUACCAGAACGCGCUCGACGGUGAGGGAUGAAAGCUGGGGGAGCGAACCGGAUUAGAUACCCGGGUAGUCCCAGCUGUAAACGAUGCGAGCUAGGUGAUGGAGUGGUUCCGUACCAUUCCAGUGCCGCAGGGAAGCCGUUAAGCUCGCCGCCUGGGGAGUACGGUCGCAAGGCUGAAACUUAAAGGAAUUGGCGGGGGAGCACAAGGGCGAAUCGCGCCGCCUAU